GUCCCGGUAGGGUAGCGGACAUCCUAGAAGAUUGCGGAUCUUUUGACCCGGGUUCAAAUCCCGGCCGGGGCG
RNAcentral lists this transfer RNA (72 nucleotides) under Methanoregula sp. RNAcentral describes it as "tRNA-Arg". It matches the Rfam family "tRNA". From Rfam's summary of the family: Transfer RNA (tRNA) molecules are approximately 80 nucleotides in length. Lineage: Archaea; Methanobacteriati; Methanobacteriota; Methanomicrobia; Methanomicrobiales; Methanoregulaceae. The record is from RNAcentral.